This 222-nucleotide ribosomal RNA is filed under the name uncultured bacterium. RNAcentral's name for it is "partial 16S ribosomal RNA". It matches the Rfam family "Bacterial small subunit ribosomal RNA", at positions 1383 to 1500 of the family's 1533-position model. The record is from RNAcentral.
GUACACACCGCCCGUCACAUCAUGGGAGUCGGAAAUGCCCGAAGUCGGUGACCUAACCCCUGGUAUGCAUGACAAUAGUAAAUCCUGACGGAUUAACUAUACGAGGAUCUGCGAUCCUCGGACAUGAGUCAGGAGAGAGACAGAAAUGAGGUCGUGCAUAGCAGGGGGAAGGAGCCGCCGAAGGCAGGUCGGAUGACUGGGGUGAAGUCGUAACAAGGUACC